Molecule: long non-coding RNA, 732 nt
Filed under: Vulpes vulpes (red fox)
Lineage: Eukaryota; Metazoa; Chordata; Mammalia; Carnivora; Canidae
Description: lncRNA (ENSVVUG00000025894.1)
Source: RNAcentral
GAUCUUAGGGUCAUAAAGGAGUGAGUCAUAAAGCCCCCUGGGAGAAGAGCACUCCAGACAGAGAAAAUCACAAGUGAAGAGCCUCUGAAGACAUAUAAGGAUUAAGCAACUGCAAGGCUGUGUGUGUGGCUGACAUGAAGUGAGCUCUGGAGGAGAGGAGAGGAUGAGGCCAGGAGGUGUCUCAGGGGCCAGAUCCAGUAACUGCUGGGCCAUCCAUAGGCCCGUGGCUUUUAGUUUGAGAUGGGGAGCCACCAGUUGGUUCUGAAGAAAGGACUGAAAUGAGCUGACAUUGAACUACAGCUAUAUUGAUUGAUGCAGAGCCACAAAAAAGGACUGAGCACAAGAUCAAGUCUGCGGUAGCUGAGGAGUGCCCCCUACAGACUGACAUGCGCCACGCAAGCAGAUGACAAGGCAGGAGCAGAGCCGCAGAGUCUGCGGAUUCUCAGGCGUCAGUGAGGGAAGAAUGUGCCCAGCUUUAGAGAGUGCACAAUACACAACAACAAAGUUGAAGCACCCCUCUGACCCAACUCUCCUCGCCCAAUUGCCUGAGAAUUGGACCUUUAGUAUAUACCACUGAUUGGUUGCAGUAUGUGUUCCACACAGGCUGGAUUUUAAUUCCAGACUUUCAUUACAUGUCUACUGUUGCCAUUGUAUGUAUCUUAAUUUCUGUGCCAUUUUACUAAAAAUGAUUCAAAACAAAAGCAGUCAAAGCUCAUUAAAGGUACACUCAAG